GAUGAACGCUGGCGGCGUGCCUAAUACAUGCAAGUCGAGCGAACAGACGAGGAGCUUGCUCCUCUGACGUUAGCGGCGGACGGGUGAGUAACACGUGGAUAACCUACCUAUAAGACGGGGAUAACUUCGGGAAACCGGAGCUAAUACCGGAUAAUAUAUUGAACCGCAUGGCUCAAUAGUGAAAGACGGUUUUGCUGUCACUUAUAGAUGAAUCCGCGCCGCAUUAGCUAGUUGGUAAGGUAACGGCUUACCAAGGCAACGAUGCGUAGCCGACCUGAGAGGGUGAUCGGCCACCCUGGACCUGAGCCACGGUCCAGACUCCUACGGGAGGCAGCAGUAGGGAAUCUUCGGCAAUGGGCGAAAGCCUGACGGAGCAACGCCGCGUGAGUGAUGAAGGUCUUCGGAUCGUAAAACUCUGUUAUUAGGGAAGAACAAAUGUGUAAGUAACUAUGCACGUCUUGACGGUACCUAAUCAGAAAGCCACGGCUAACUACGUG
This 497-nucleotide ribosomal RNA is filed under the name uncultured bacterium. RNAcentral's name for it is "partial 16S ribosomal RNA". It matches the Rfam family "Bacterial small subunit ribosomal RNA", at positions 28 to 507 of the family's 1533-position model. The record is from RNAcentral.